CCACACAGCUCUGCAGGAUUCAUCAAUGGUGCUGGGGUUAAGACAUACUUGGAAGAAGAAGGACCGCAUUGCUGGUGCCCCACCAUACCUUUUCUAGUGUGGAUGAAGUGUUAGCAUCUUCUCCCAGGCUGAAAAUACAACACUGUUUAGCAAACAAUAAUGAGCCUGUCCUUGCAUCGUUUUGCCUGCUGUUUGCUUCUGUUUGACUUCGGCCAAAUGGGCAUGAGUGAUGGCGUCAUUAUGAGUCAAGAGUUCCAAGAAAGUUGCCAUUGUGUGGGUCACCUAUCAGAUUAUCAUCUCCUUGGAAUGCUAAACCUCUUGAAGCAAGAUAUAAGAGAUCUGUGGCCCCCCUCCUCCCCCAUUCCUCUAUGGCAGUUAAAGGCCUCAUCUUGGAGAGAUGGAGUUCGGAAUGUAUUACAAUAGUGCAAAACAAGAAAUUGCUAUCACUAUCUGAUGAGAGUUACCAAGGGUCGGUGAAGCAGAGAUCUCUGAUUUUUAGAUUUCUUUCAUUUUUUUUGACAAGCUUGCAAAGCUUG
Molecule: long non-coding RNA, 536 nt
Filed under: Crocodylus porosus (Australian saltwater crocodile)
Lineage: Eukaryota; Metazoa; Chordata; Crocodylia; Crocodylidae
Description: lncRNA (ENSCPRG00005016642.1)
Source: RNAcentral